GACGAACGCUGGCGGCGUGCUUAACACAUGCAAGUCGAACGGAAAGGCCCUUCGGGGUACUCGAGUGGCGAACGGGUGAGUAACACGUGGGUGAUCUGCCCUGCACUUUGGGAUAAGCCUGGGAAACUGGGUCUAAUACCGAAUAGGACCACGCGCUUCAUGGUGUGUGGUGGAAAGCUUUUGCGGUGUGGGAUGGGCCCGCGGCCUAUCAGCUUGUUGGUGGGGUAAUGGCCUACCAAGGCGACGACGGGUAGCCGGCCUGAGAGGGUGACCGGCCACACUGGGACUGAGAUACGGCCCAGACUCCUACGGGAGGCAACAGUGGGGAAUAUUGCACAAUGGGCGCAAGCCUGAUGCAGCGACGCCGCGUGAGGGAUGACGGCCUUCGGGUUGUAAACCUCUUUCACCAGGGACGAAGCGUAAGUGACGGUACCUGGAGAAGAAGCACCGGCCAACUACGU
RNAcentral lists this ribosomal RNA (461 nucleotides) under uncultured bacterium. RNAcentral describes it as "partial 16S ribosomal RNA". It matches the Rfam family "Bacterial small subunit ribosomal RNA", at positions 28 to 506 of the family's 1533-position model. The record is from RNAcentral.